Molecule: ribosomal RNA, 513 nt
Filed under: uncultured bacterium
Lineage: Bacteria
Description: partial 16S ribosomal RNA
Rfam family: Bacterial small subunit ribosomal RNA
Source: RNAcentral
GACGAACGCUGGCGGCAUGCCUAAUACAUGCAAGUCGAGCGAACAGAUGAAGUGCUUGCACUUCUGACGUUAGCGGCGAACGGGUGAGUAACACGUAAGGAAUCUACCUAUAAGCGGGGGAUAACGUUCGGAAACGGGUGCUAAUACCGCAUAAUAUCUUCUUCCGCAUGGAAGAAGAUUGAAAGACGGCUCUGCUGUCACUUAUAGAUGACCUUGCGGUGCAUUAGUUAGUUGGUGGGGUAAUGGCCUACCAAGACGAUGAUGCAUAGCCGACCUGGGAGGGUGAUCGGCCACAUUGGGACGGAGACACGGCCCAAACUCCUACGGGAGGCAGCAGUAGGGAAUCUUCCGCAAUGGGCGAAAGCCUGACGGAGCAAUGCCGCGUGAGUGAAGAAGGCCUUCGGGUCGUAAAACUCUGUUAUAAGAGAAGAACAAAUUGUAGAGUAACUGCUACAGUCUUGACGGUAUCUUAUCAGAAAGCCACGGCUAACUACGUGCCAGCAGCCGCAGUAA